Molecule: ribosomal RNA, 477 nt
Filed under: Proceraea nigropunctata
Lineage: Eukaryota; Metazoa; Annelida; Polychaeta; Phyllodocida; Syllidae
Description: partial 16S ribosomal RNA
Rfam family: Bacterial large subunit ribosomal RNA
Source: RNAcentral
AGCUUAUUGAUACUUAAUAAUAAGUGUAUUCUGCCCAGUGAUAUAUUUCAACGGCCGCGGUAUCCUGACCGUGCAAAGGUAGCAUAAUCAUUUGCCUUUUAAUUGGAGGCUAGAAUGAAUGAAUAAACGUAAAUCUAACUUUCCCUAAUUAUAAAAUAAAAAUUAUUCUUUAGGUGAAGAAACCUAAAUAAUAUAAAAAGACAAGAAGACCCUAUCAAGCUUUAUAUUUUUAACGUCCCUCUUUCUAAAAAUAUUUGGUUGGGGCGAUUAAUGGAGAUCCCUUCACCUCCAUAUACCUAUAGAUUUAUUAAUCUUCAAAUUUAAAAAUUUAAAACAAAAAAGCUACUGUAGGGAUAACAGGCUAAUAUCUUCUAAGAGUUCAAAUUAAAGAAGAUGAUUGGCACCUCGAUGUUGGCUUAGGACAACCCCUCCUUGCAGAAGAGGAGGAAAGUUAGUUUGUUCAACUAUUAAUUUCCU